Long non-coding RNA from Bufo bufo (common toad), 300 nucleotides. RefSeq lists it as uncharacterized. The record is from RefSeq and is a predicted model, not a curated record. The transcript has 3 exons. NCBI's taxonomy places the organism in Eukaryota, Metazoa, Chordata, Amphibia, Anura, Bufonidae.
GAAAGAAUAACGCUGCAAGCAGUAUUUUUCUGUCCGCGAUGUGAUGCGGAGCAAGAAGGAUCCGUUCUAACACGCAAUGUAAGUCAAUGGGGACGGAUCCGUUUUCUCAGACACAAUAGAAAACGGAUCCUUCCCCCAUUAAAUUUCAAUGGAGUUCAUGACUGAUCCGUCUUGGCAAUGUUAAAGAUAAUACAACCGGAUCCGUUCAUGACGGAUGCAGACGGGUUGUAUUAUCAGUAACGGAAGCGUUUUUUCCUGAGCCCUGCCGGGAUCUAGCAAAAAACGCAAAGUGUGAAAGUA